AUAUGGUAUGAAAGGAGAAAAGUUUAACACUCUCCUUGAAAAGGAUGGAAGAAGCCCUUGGGUCUAACAAAACACAUUCGGUAAAGGCAUUGCCACCUACUUAGUGGCAUCUAAUCGUUGUUUUAG
Acomys russatus (golden spiny mouse) is the source of this 126-nucleotide small nuclear RNA. The record is from RefSeq and is a predicted model, not a curated record. NCBI's taxonomy places the organism in Eukaryota, Metazoa, Chordata, Mammalia, Rodentia, Muridae.